UAGGGUGCAAGCGUUAAUCGGAAUUACUGGGCGUAAAGCGUGCGCAGGCGGUUAUGCAAGUAAGGUGUGAAAUCCCCGGGCUCAACCUGGGAACUGCAUUUGUGACUGCAUGGCUAGAGUACGGUAGAGGGGGAUGGAAUUCCGCGUGUAGCAGUGAAAUGCGUAGAUAUGCGGAGGAACACCGAUGGCGAAGGCAAUCCCCUGGACCUGUACUGACGCUCAUGCACGAAAGCGUGGGGAGCAAACAGG
Molecule: ribosomal RNA, 249 nt
Filed under: uncultured bacterium
Lineage: Bacteria
Description: partial 16S ribosomal RNA
Rfam family: Bacterial small subunit ribosomal RNA
Source: RNAcentral